Molecule: long non-coding RNA, 802 nt
Filed under: Capsicum annuum
Lineage: Eukaryota; Viridiplantae; Streptophyta; Magnoliopsida; Solanales; Solanaceae
Description: long non-coding RNA (CANN_LNC009300)
Source: RNAcentral
GUUCUUUCUUUCUCUGUUUCUUCUUCUUCUUUUUCUUAUUCUUCUUCCUCCUCUUCUCAUUUUUUUUUCCUUUAUCAUAUUCAUCUUCUUUCUUCUUGCUUUACGGAAAAAUUAAAAAAGUGAGGUGUGAAAAUUUUAAGAAGUAUGGAAAGAAGAAAUUUUUGAAGAUUUUUGUGAUUUGGGUGAUUCAAGAAACUUGAAAUUCAAUGUAAAGACUCAAUUUUUAUACUUUCUUUAGACUCUUUGUGAUUUGGGUAAUUUAAGACAAUUUAAAAUUCUUGAAAUUCAAUGUAAAAACUCAAUUUUUGUGGAUUUUUUGUGAUUUGGGUAAUUCAAGAAAGUUGAAAAUUCUUGAAAUUCAAAGUAAAGAUUCAAUUUUUUUUUUCUUGGGAUUUCUUGUGAUUUGGGUAAUUCAAGAUUGUUGAGAAUUCUUGAAAUUUAAUGUGAAUAUUUUUGUGAAUUGGUUAAAAUUCAAUUUUGGGAAUUCAUGAAUUUUUUGUGAAUUGGUUGAAGAAAAAGAAAUUAAGAAAUUUUUGUGAAUUGGUUGAAGAAAAAGAAAUUCAAUGGUCAGUGGUGUAGUGUGUGAUGAUUUUUGUGGAGAAAAAAAAGAAUUUUUCGGUGAGGUAUUGUCUUCUAUAUUUCUGUGUUUCAUGUGUAUUUUAAUGGUGAGGAUCUGAGAGUCUUACUGUAUGUGAAUAUUUGUUAUAAAGGAGCAGGAUGUCAUUUUUGUUGUUGGGUGAGUACAGCUCGUGGGGGGAGGGGCACUGCAAUGGUGCUUGCCGACGUUAAUGGUGAUGGCCGG